Molecule: ribosomal RNA, 388 nt
Filed under: Petrochirus diogenes
Lineage: Eukaryota; Metazoa; Arthropoda; Malacostraca; Decapoda; Diogenidae
Description: partial 12S ribosomal RNA
Rfam family: Microsporidia small subunit ribosomal RNA (bases 43-388)
Source: RNAcentral
GGWUAGAUACCCCACUAUACUUAUAAUAAAACUUUGAUGCCUGAUUAGUAAUAGUUAUAGUCUUUAAACUCAAAGAAUUUGGCGGUGCUUUAGUCUUAUUAGGGGAGCCUGUCUUUUAAACGAUAAACCACGUAAUAUCUUACCUGUUUUGAUAGUUUGUAUACCGUCAUUAAGAUAACCCUURUAGGGUGAGUUAUUAGAAUAAUAUAAUUUAAUAUAUUAGAUCAAGGUGCAGCAUAUAAAUAGGCAAAGAUGGGCUACAAUAAAACUUAUUUAUCACGGAUAGGAUUAAGAAGUAAUUCUUGAAGGAGGACUUAUUAGUAGAAGAAUUUUAAUACGGUAUUUCGAUUUUGGCUCUAAAUCAUGUACAUAUCGUCCGUCGCUAAAA